Molecule: ribosomal RNA, 1451 nt
Filed under: uncultured bacterium
Lineage: Bacteria
Description: partial 16S ribosomal RNA
Rfam family: Bacterial small subunit ribosomal RNA
Source: RNAcentral
AGAGUUUGAUCCUGGCUCAGGAUGAACGCUAGCGGGAGGCUUAACACAUGCAAGUCGAGCGGGAUUAGCAGCAAUGCUAUGAGAGCGGCGCACGGGUGCGUAACGCGUAUGCAACCUNNNNNNNNNNNNNNNNNNNNNNNNNNNNNNNNNNNNNNNNNNNNNNNNNNNNNNNNNNNNNUGGUUAAAGAUGAGCAUGCGUGACAUUAGCUAGUUGGUAGGGUAAUGGCCUACCAAGGCUACGAUGGUUAGCUGGUCUGAGAGGAUGAUCCGCCACACUGGAACUGAGACACGGACCAGACUCCUACGGGAGGCAGCAGUGAGGAAUAUUGGUCAAUGGCCGGAAGGCUGAACCAGCCAUCCCGCGUGCAGGAUGACGGCCCUAUGGGUUGUAAACUUCUUUUGUAUGGGAAGAAACCUUCUGACGUGUCAGAAGCUGACGGUACUGUACGAAUAAGCAUCGGCUAACUCCGUGCCAGCAGCCGCGGUAAUACGGAGGAUGCAAGCGUUAUCCGGAUUUAUUGGGUUUAAAGGGUGCGUAGGCGGGAUAGCAAGUCAGUGGUGAAAGCCUACAGCUUAACUGUAGAACUGCCAUUGAUACUGUUAUUCUUGAGUAUAGUUGAAGUGGGUGGAAUGUGUGGUGUAGCGGUGAAAUGCUUAGAUAUCACACAGAACGCCAAUUGCGAAGGCAGCUCACUAAGCUAUCACUGACGCUGAGGCACGAAAGCGUGGGGAUCAAACAGGAUUAGAUACCCUGGUAGUCCACGCCGUAAACUAUGAUGACUCGCUGUUGGCGAUAUACUGUCAGCGGCUGAGCGAAAGCAUUAAGUCAUCCACCUGGGGAGUACGAUCGCAAGGUUGAAACUCAAAGGAAUUGACGGGGGCCCGCACAAGCGGAGGAACAUGUGGUUUAAUUCGAUGAUACGCGAGGAACCUUACCUGGGUUUGAACGUAGAGUGACCGGUGCCGAAGUGCCUUUCCUUCGGGACAGUCUACGAGGUGCUGCAUGGUUGUCGUCAGCUCGUGCCGUGAGGUGUCGGGUUAAGUCCCAUAACGAGCGCAACCCCUAUCGUUAGUUGCCAUCAGGUAAAGUUGGGGACUCUAACGAGACUGCCGGUGUAAACCGUGAGGAAGGUGGGGAUGACGUCAAAUCAGCACGGCCCUUAUAUCCAGGGCUACACACGUGUUACAAUGGCCUGAACAGAGGGCAGCAACCUGGCGACAGGGAGCUAAUCCAUCAAGCCGGUCUCAGUUCGGAUCGAAGUCUGCAACCCGACUCCAUGAAGCUGGAUUCGCUAGUAAUCGCAUAUCAGCCAUGAUGCGGUGAAUACGUUCCCGGGCCUUGUACACACCGCCCGUCAAGCCAUGGAAGCUGGGGGUACCUAAAGUUCGUAACCGCAAGGAGCGGCCUAGGGUAAAACCGGUGACUGGGGCUAAGUCGUAACAAGGUAACC